This 458-nucleotide long non-coding RNA is filed under the name Equus caballus (horse). RNAcentral's name for it is "lncRNA (ENSECAG00000054509.1)". The record is from RNAcentral. Lineage: Eukaryota; Metazoa; Chordata; Mammalia; Perissodactyla; Equidae.
GUUAAUAAUCCCUGCUGUUCUUAGCUCCAGGUGAUAAGAGGGCCAUAUGGAUGUACAGAAACAUUAUGCAUCAUCACUGCAGCUUUCCAGUCUGCCUUCUCAAUAAGAAUUCUCUCAAUUGAAUAGUUUCUGGUUAUGCCUGGAAAGGAUGCCCAUCUAUAGCUCUAAUGAUGAUGAAGCUCCAUCUUUGAACCAAUUUCCUGAUCUCUGAGCUAUGCAGUAGAUGAGUGAUCAACAGCAACCACCUUCUACUCCAGCCAAGAAUUUCCUGACCUGCAUUUCACCAAGUCCUGAAACUCAAGGUUCUUUCAAGGAAGCAGUAAGGAAGUUAAAGGUAUGGGAUGGGAGACAUGACAUUUGACCCUGAGAAAUGCAUAUAGAGGUCCCCACUUCUGAAGAGCAAAUCCAAGUUGUCUGCCUUAUAACAUAGCGAAUGUUAGCUGCUGUGUGAUGAUUUU